AASSSKGUUGCRGUUAAAAGCUCGUAGUUGGAUUUCGGGUGGGUUGGCGCGGUCCGCCUCUGGUGUGCACUGCGCCGGUCCACCUUCCAGCCGGGGACGGGCUCCUGGGCUUAACUGUCUGGGACUCGGAGUCGGCGAUGUUACUUUGAGUAAAUUAGAGUGUUCAAAGCAAGCCUACGCUCUGAAUAUGUUAGCAUGGAAUAACGCGAUAGGACUCUGGCCUAUCCGUUGGUCUGUGGGACCGGAGUAAUGAUUAAGAGGAACAGUCGGGGGCAUUCGUAUUCCGUUGUCAGAGGUGAAAUUCUUGGAUUUACGGAAGACGAACUUCUGCGAAAGCAUUUGCCAAGGAUGUUUUCAUUAAUCAAGAACGAAAGUUGGGGGCUCGAAGA
RNAcentral lists this ribosomal RNA (389 nucleotides) under Chlamydomonas sp. MACC 544. Its description in RNAcentral is "SSU rRNA". It matches the Rfam family "Eukaryotic small subunit ribosomal RNA", at positions 608 to 1015 of the family's 1831-position model. The record is from RNAcentral. Lineage: Eukaryota; Viridiplantae; Chlorophyta; Chlorophyceae; Chlamydomonadales; Chlamydomonadaceae.